UUUCCGUAGGUGAACCUGCGGAAGGAUCAUUACUGAGUGAGGGCCCCUCGGGGUCCAACCUCCCACCCGUGUUUAACGAACCUUGUUGCUUCGGCGAGCCCGCCUCACGGCCGCCGGGGGGCAUCUGCCCCCGGGCCCGCGCCCGCCGAAGCCACCUGUGAACGUUGUCUGAAGUAUGCAGUCUGAGACAAUUAUUAAAUUAAUUAAAACUUUCAACAACGGAUCUCUUGGUUCCG
RNAcentral lists this unclassified non-coding RNA (236 nucleotides) under plant metagenome. RNAcentral's name for it is "partial contains small subunit ribosomal RNA, internal transcribed spacer 1, and 5.8S ribosomal RNA". The record is from RNAcentral.